UUCCGGUUGAUCCUGCCAGAGGUCACUGCUAUCGGUGUACGAUUAAGCCAUGCGAGUCGAGAGGUGUAAGACCUCGGCAGACUGCUCAGUAACACGUGGAUAACCUGCCCAAGGGUCCGGGAUAACCCCGGGAAACUGGGGAUAAUACCGGAUGGGUCACCAGUGCUGGAAUGCUUGGUGGUCGAAAGGUGACGCCUUUGGAUGGGUCUGCGGCGGAUUAGGUUGACGCCGGUGUAACGUACCGGCGUGCCUGUAAUCCGUACGGGUUGUGGGAGCAAGAGCCCGGAGAUGGAUUCUGAGACACGAAUCCAGGCCCUACGGGGCGCAGCAGGCGCGAAAACUCUACAAUGCAGGCAACUGCGAUAGGGGGACAUCGAGUGGCAUCCACCUUGGGUGUCUGUCCAACCGUGUAAAAAACGGU
RNAcentral lists this ribosomal RNA (421 nucleotides) under uncultured Methanocella sp. RNAcentral describes it as "bacterial SSU rRNA". It matches the Rfam family "Archaeal small subunit ribosomal RNA", at positions 1 to 430 of the family's 1478-position model. Lineage: Archaea; Methanobacteriati; Methanobacteriota; Methanomicrobia; Methanocellales; Methanocellaceae. The record is from RNAcentral.